GACAGAGGUGCCAAGCGUUAGGCGGAAUCACUGGGCUUAAAGCGUGUGUAGGCGGACUCCUAAGUACUUUGUGAAAUCCCUCGGCUUAACCGGGGAACUGCGUCUGAUACUGGAUGGCUUGAGAUUGGGAGAGGGAUGCGGAAUUCCAGGUGUAGCGGUGAAAUGCGUAGAUAUCUGGAGGAACACCGGUGGCGAAGGCGACAUCCUGGACCAACACUGACGCUGAGGAGCGAAAGCCAGGGGAGCAAACGGG
Molecule: ribosomal RNA, 253 nt
Filed under: uncultured bacterium
Lineage: Bacteria
Description: partial 16S ribosomal RNA
Rfam family: Bacterial small subunit ribosomal RNA
Source: RNAcentral